This 2033-nucleotide ribosomal RNA is filed under the name Candidatus Magasanikiibacteriota bacterium. Its description in RNAcentral is "bacterial LSU rRNA". It matches the Rfam family "Bacterial large subunit ribosomal RNA", at positions 804 to 2912 of the family's 2925-position model. Lineage: Bacteria; Candidatus Magasanikiibacteriota. The record is from RNAcentral.
AUGAGUUGUGGAUAGCGGAGAAAUUCCAAUCGAACUCAGUAAUAGCUGGUUCUCCUCGAAAUAGCUUUAGGGCUAGCUGUAUGUGUUCCUUCUGGGGGUAGAGCACUGGAUGGAAAGUGGGUCCUUCGGGAUACCCUUUCCAAUCAAACUCCGAAUACCAGUAGUUAAGAACAUGCAAGUUAGACUAUGGGGGCUAAGCUUCAUAGUCGAAAGGGAAACAGCCCAGAUCGUCAAUUAAGGUCCCUAAAUCACUGCUAAGUGUUAAAGGUGGUGUUAAUUCUUAUACAACCAGGAAGUUGGCUUAGAAGCAGCCAUCUUUUAAAGAUAGCGUAACAGCUCACUGGUCAAGAGUUUUCGCGCCGAAAAUGUACCGGGGCUAAGCAGUGUACCGAAAUUACGAAUUCAUGAUCUCUUCGGAGCGUCAUGAGUGGUAGAGGAGCAUUCCUAUCUGCGUCGAAGCAGGAUCCGCGAGGGCCUGUGGAGCGAUGGGAAGAGAGAAUGCAGGCACAAGUAGCAAAAAUGCCAGUGAAAGUCUGGCACGCCGAAAACCCAAGGUUUCCAGGGCAACGUGAAUCGUCCCUGGGUUAGUCGAUCCUAAGGCGAGGCCGAAAGGCGUAGUCGAUGGAAGAGCAGGUUAAUAUUCCUGCACUUGGUAUAGUUUGUUGUAUUGCCGCACCUCAAAGGUAUGAGCGUUUUUUGGCUAUAGACGUUCCGCAAGGUAAAGACGAGCUCUCCGGAGUAAGUCAAUUUGUGUUAGAGAGGUGCCUAGAAAAACAGUACAACGCUAGGCUAUAUCAAACCGUACCGCAAACCGACACAGGUGGGUAGGUCGAGAAGACCAAGGUGUACGAGAGAAACAUGGUUAAGGAACUCGGCAAAACAGCGGCCGUAACUUCGGGAUAAGGCCUGCCCUGAGCAAUCAGGGCCGCAGCGAAAGACUACACGCGACUGUUUACCAAAAACACAGCUCUCUGCUAAAUCGUAAGAUGAUGUAUAGGGGGCGAUGCCUGGCCAGUGUCAGAACGUUAAGGGGAUGGGUUAUCCUUCGGGAGAAGCUUUGAACUGAAGCGCUGAUGAACGCCGGCGAUAACUAUAAUCGUCCUAAGGUAGCGAAAUUCCUUGUCGGGUGAGUUCCGACCCGCAUGAAUGGCACAACGAUGUGUAGACUGUCUUAACCAUGUACUCGGCGAAAAUGCAAUUGUCGUGAAGAUGCGACAUUGCCGCAGCAAGACGAAAAGACCCCGUGAAGCUUUACUACAGUUUGAUAUUGGUACAUUGCUUCAUAUGUUCAGCAUAGGUGGGAGCCUUCGGGCACCAGUGAGAUACCACCCUUAUGCUGUGAUGUACCUAAUCUAUUACCAUGAAUCUGGUAAUGGAGACAGUGUCUGAUGGGUAGUUUAACUGGGGCGGUUGCCUCCCAAAAUGUAACGGAGGCGUUUACAAAGGUUGGCUUGGUCCGGAUGGAAAUCGGACUGGACGUGCAAACGCAAAAGCCAGCUUUACUGCAAGGGCUACCACCCGAGCAGUUACGAAAGUAGAAGUUAGUGAUCCGACCGUGCGAUAUAGGACGGCGGAAGCUCAUCGGAUAAAAGUUACUCCGGGGAUAACAGGCUGAUAGCGCCCAAGCGUCCACAGCGACGGCGCUGUUUGGCACCUCGAUGUCGGCUCAUCGCAUCCUGGGGGUGGAGAAGCUCCCAAGGGUUAGGCUGUUCGCCUAUUAAAGCGGUACGCGAGCUGGGUUCAGAACGUCGUGAGACAGUUCGGUCUCCUAUCUGCUGUGGCCGUUGAAUGUUGAAGGAAUUCACUCCUAGUACGAGAGGACCGGGGUGGACGAACCUCUGGUGUACCAGUUGUACCUGCCAAGGGCAUCGCUGGGUAGCUAAGUUCGGUACGGAUAAGCGCUGAAAGCAUCUAAGCGCGAAGCCGUUCCUAAGAUUAACAUUCAUUUGAGACUCGUUCGAGACGAGGACGUUGAUAGGCACUAGGUGUAAGGCCAGUAAUGGCUUGAGCCAAGGUGUACUAAUAUGUCGAGC